Molecule: ribosomal RNA, 205 nt
Filed under: Clostridioides difficile
Lineage: Bacteria; Bacillati; Bacillota; Clostridia; Peptostreptococcales; Peptostreptococcaceae
Description: partial 23S ribosomal RNA
Rfam family: Bacterial large subunit ribosomal RNA
Source: RNAcentral
ACAUCUAAGUACCUGAAGGAAGAGAAAGAAAUUCGAUUCCGUAAGUAGCGGCGAGCGAACGCGGAUUAGCCCAAACCAAUGAAGUUUUCUUUAUUGGGGUUGUGGACAUAUCAUAACGAAGAGGUAUCGUAAUUGAAGAGGUUUGGAAAGACCCACCACAGAAGGUAAUAGUCCUGUAUGUUAAACGAGAAGACUUUAGAUAUGA